Molecule: long non-coding RNA, 701 nt
Organism: Cajanus cajan (pigeon pea)
Lineage: Eukaryota; Viridiplantae; Streptophyta; Magnoliopsida; Fabales; Fabaceae
Source: RefSeq, a predicted model, not a curated record
UCUAAAAGAAAAACUAAGAGUUGUAUUUACAAUCUCUUGAAAUCUCACCACUAUUAUUACUGUAAUUUAAUUUUUUCCUCUCUCUCUGCGCAACCAAAUGCAUGAACUUCCCCACGCGACAGUUUCCUUCUUCCCUUUUCUCUAUGACGUGAGUUACUGAGAAUCUUCAUUAGGGUUUGUGAAAGAAUCAUGUCGAGCGCGUUAAGCUAGAGACACCAUGUCGUGAUUCAAGCUUUGUUGUCACGAGGCCUGCUCAUGGAGAAGGACUUGCACUCCAUGUUUGAAGAAUUCACCAAAAGAAACCUAGAAAUGUGUUAUUCUCCAUGAGUUCAGCGGGUGUUGCCAAUUACCAAUAAGGCACUGAUCCGCAACUGUCUGUGCUUAGUUGUGCUAAUUUUGAGUUGCGUGCCUGCAUAGAUCAAUAUGAUGGUCAAGUUUAUUAUGGGGUGGUGAAUACUGUUUCAGAUGAACAUUCCAAGUUAGGCACGAAGUAUACUGUUCCUCAAAUUGCCCUUUAUAAGGCCAUUGUAAGUUUUGCUUUACUAGCUUGUGUUUUUUUUGUCUGUUGGUGUACAUAUGUGAAUAUGUACUAGGCUUUACAAAUUGGUUUGUGUAAUGCUUUUAGUUUUUGCGGUUCUGUGUCUUCCAGUUGUGCACCUGUGUUUGUCACUGGGUGCAUAGUAGAUAUAAUAGAAAGAGAA